UACGUAGGGUGCGAGCGUUAAUCGGAAUUACUGGGCGUAAAGCGUGCGCAGGCGGUUUUUUAAGACAGGCGUGAAAUCCCCGGGCUCAACCUGGGAACUGCGCUUGUGACUGGAAGACUAGAGUGUGUCAGAGGGGGGUGGAAUUCCGCGUGUAGCAGUGAAAUGCGUAGAGAUGCGGAGGAACACCGAUGGCGAAGGCAGCCCCUGGGAUAACACUGACGCUCAUGCACGAAAGCGUGGGGAGCAAACAGGAUUAGAUACCCCGGUAGU
This 270-nucleotide ribosomal RNA is filed under the name uncultured bacterium. RNAcentral's name for it is "partial 16S ribosomal RNA". It matches the Rfam family "Bacterial small subunit ribosomal RNA", at positions 524 to 794 of the family's 1533-position model. The record is from RNAcentral.